AUACGUAGGGGGCGAGCGUUGUCCGGAAUGAUUGGGCGUAAAGGGAGCGUAGGCGGCUUUGCAAGUCAGUAGUGGAAGUCCAUUUUUCAAGGAUGGAAGUGCUACAGAAACUGAGGAGCUUGAGUGCAGGCGAGGUUAUCGGAAUUCCCGGUGUCGCGGUGAAAUGCGUAGAGAUCGGGAGGAACACCAGUGGCGAAGGCGGGUAACUGGACUGCAACUGACGCUGAGGCGCGAAAGUGUGGGGAGCAAACAGGAUUAGAUACCCUGGUAGUCCACACUGUAAACGAUGAAUGCUAGGUGUAGGAGGUAUCGACCCCUUCUGUGCCGCAGUAAACACAGUAAGCAUUCCGCCUGGGGAGUACGGUCGCAAGAUUAAAACUCAAAUGAAUUGACGGGG
Molecule: ribosomal RNA, 397 nt
Filed under: uncultured bacterium
Lineage: Bacteria
Description: partial 16S ribosomal RNA
Rfam family: Bacterial small subunit ribosomal RNA
Source: RNAcentral